This 429-nucleotide ribosomal RNA is filed under the name Bacteroidota bacterium. Its description in RNAcentral is "Bacteroidetes bacterium partial 16S ribosomal RNA". It matches the Rfam family "Bacterial small subunit ribosomal RNA", at positions 355 to 776 of the family's 1533-position model. Lineage: Bacteria; Pseudomonadati; Bacteroidota. The record is from RNAcentral.
UAGGGAAUCUUCGGCAAUGGGGGGAACCCUGACCGAGCAACGCCGCGUGAGUGAAGAAGGCUUUCGGAUCGUAAAGCUCUGUUGUUAAGGAAGAACGAGUGUGAGAAUGGAAAGUUCAUACUGUGACGGUACUUAACCAGAAAGGGACGGCUAACUACGUGCCAGCAGCCGCGGUAAUACGUAGGUCCCGAGCGUUGUCCGGAUUUAUUGGGCGUAAAGCGAGCGCAGGCGGUUAGAUAAGUCUGAAGUUAAAGGCAGUGGCUCAACCAUUGUAGGCUUUGGAAACUGUUUAGCUUGAGUGCAGAAGGGGAGAGUGGAAUUCCAUGUGUAGCGGUGAAAUGCGUAGAUAUAUGGAGGAACACCGGUGGCGAAAGCGGCUCUCUGGUCUGUAACUGACGCUGAGGCUCGAAAGCGUGGGGAGCGAACAGG